Molecule: ribosomal RNA, 402 nt
Filed under: Triticum aestivum (bread wheat)
Lineage: Eukaryota; Viridiplantae; Streptophyta; Magnoliopsida; Poales; Poaceae
Description: partial small subunit ribosomal RNA
Source: RNAcentral
AUGGUCCCUCAAACAGCCACGCCGCCACACCUGCCGACCCCUGCGCAGCACACCCACCCCUGCGCUUGGCCGCCAUGGCGGCGGCGGCCCGGCUCCAGCGCGCCGGCGGCCACGGCGGAGGCCCCGGAGGCGGUCGUCGGGGCGGGCGGCGCGAGGUGGGAGACGAUGGGCGCGCGGGAGUACUACGACUACCGGCGGGCCAUCUACGGCGACAUCACGCACAAGGCCAUCCUCGUCGACGCCGCCGGCACCAUCCUCGCCCCCACCGAGUCCAUGGCCCAGGUGUACAGAACAGUAGGCGAAAAGUAUGGGGUGAAGUACUCGGAGGACGAGAUCUUGAUGAGGACCUCGAGGCCUCGGAGAGCCCCUCCAAACAAGACGCGCACGGGAGCUCUGCCUUGA